RNAcentral lists this transfer RNA (76 nucleotides) under Escherichia coli MP020980.2. RNAcentral's name for it is "tRNA-Ile". It matches the Rfam family "tRNA". From Rfam's summary of the family: Transfer RNA (tRNA) molecules are approximately 80 nucleotides in length. Their secondary structure includes four short double-helical elements and three loops (D, anti-codon, and T loops). The record is from RNAcentral. Lineage: Bacteria; Pseudomonadati; Pseudomonadota; Gammaproteobacteria; Enterobacterales; Enterobacteriaceae.
AGGCUUGUAGCUCAGGUGGUUAGAGCGCACCCCUGAUAAGGGUGAGGUCGGUGGUUCAAGUCCACUCAGGCCUCCA